CGAAAUCCUUUUAAUAAAAAGAUUGAAAUUCAAAGCUUUCUAAACCAAAUACCAAGCAUCGAAAUCUGUUUAGAAAAUCUUCUACAAAUCAAAAACUAAAGAUCGGUAACAAAAUUAACUCUCAGUUCGCUCACUCAACCUUCAAAUGAUACUCCUAACAGUCACAGCACUAGAUAGCAGUGGUGGAAAGGAACAUAGCCGUGGUUUAGAAGCAUUUCAAUUGAAUAAUCAAAGAAAAGAUGACAGCUUACGAAAAUCGUACUUGAAAAUAUAAGUUCUCGAGGGAUAACUUUAGGGUGCGUUUGGCACACUGUAUUGUAUUAUGCUGUAUUGCAUUAUUUUAAUGCUGGUGUAUUUUAUUAUGUUGUAUUGCUUUAGCAUUGUAUUAUAACAAUAUUGUACAAUAUUUGAUGCUACAUUGUACUGUAUUAAUUUUUAAUUAAA
Molecule: long non-coding RNA, 444 nt
Filed under: Citrus x clementina
Lineage: Eukaryota; Viridiplantae; Streptophyta; Magnoliopsida; Sapindales; Rutaceae
Description: Citrus clementina (C. clementina) long non-coding RNA (CCLE_LNC003829)
Source: RNAcentral